This 1530-nucleotide long non-coding RNA is filed under the name Equus caballus (horse). RNAcentral describes it as "lncRNA (ENSECAG00000058600.1)". The record is from RNAcentral. Lineage: Eukaryota; Metazoa; Chordata; Mammalia; Perissodactyla; Equidae.
GUAAGUGAAUCCCACGGGACCCAGGAAAAAUGCUUCUGACACUGGUGCUCACAUCUCCUCACCAACACCCCUUUGGGUAGAGAGGUCACAAGGACCCGAGGGGGACCUUGGACAGAGACAGACACACUCAGGAAGAACAUUGUGUGAAGACGAAGACAGGGAGAGAGGUGAUGCUUCUACCAGCCAAGGAACACUGAAGAUGCCAGCAACCACCAGAAGGACCGGAAGCUAGAGGGAGAGAGGAGAGCCUUCUUCACAGACCUCAGAAGGAACCCAUGUACCAACACCUUGAUUUUGGACUUCCAGCCUCCGGAACUGUGAGACAAUACAUUUCUGCUGUUUAAGCCCCCUGUUUGUGGUACUCUGCUAUGGCAGCCCGAGCAAACUGAUGCAGGGGGAUGCAGGGAGAGAGGACAGACUUUUUUGCCAUUUGCCAGCUAUGUGAGCCCUGACAAGUUACAGCUCUGGCGGAGACUGGUUUCUUUAUCUGUGAGAUGGGGUUAGCACUAGUGACUCAGAAGGUGGAGUGACAUCUGCAUGGAAGAUUUCAGACCCAUCCCUGACACACAAAACGAUCAGCAUUUAUCACAAAUGUACAAAUUAGUCACCAUUGGGCAUCAUGGGAGGGGACCCUGCGAUGCACUUUAAGUUGCUUCACAAAUACGUGCUUUUCCUCCCCUUUAAAAUUCUAUACUCCUUGUGGGCAGGAAAUGAGUCAUCAUAUUAAAUCCCCAGUGACAUCAGGACAGUUCUCCGAACUCCAUAAAUGGCUCAACAAUACUUCUUUCGAAAUAAGGACACAGACGUUACAGCCCACAGGCUCCAAUGAUGCAGAGAAUCUUGGGCAGCUAGCCUCGCUCCUAAAGGAGACAGAAUGGUCUUUACCAGGUGGCUGUGUCUUCCUGCUGUGGUUCCAAAGUUAGAGAGCUCUGGGCAAGGGGCUGGAGCUGGGGCUGAUGGGUCUGAGCACAGUCAGCCGGGACCUGAUUCCCCUGAAAACUCCUCAUGGAUAUUCUUCAAAAGACCCAGGGUCUUCACAGAACUCUCUAGAAACAACAAUGAUCUCCUUGGAGCCCAAACAGUCCCUGAGCUAUCAGACAGCUGCCACCAUAUCAAUCUAAUCAAGUCUUGUUUAGGCUGAUAUUGAAAUGAAGGAGGAAGCCAUCUGGGCCAGUCAGAAUCUGGAAUUUAGAAGGAAGACAGGAGGUCAACAAUUUGGAUUUGACGAAAGAAACAUUAGUGAACUAAAUUCUCCCUUCUCCUACUUUUUGAAGGCUUCUUGGUGACUGCUUCUUGAAAUAAAGAGAAGAUUAAUAGAGUUGAAACUGUGAUGGACGCUAUUGAUGCUCCAUCUAGAACUCCCAAAUUCCUUGGACCAGCUACUCUCUGUGCCUGUCCCCACCUCUGAGGCUUACUGAUCACACCUGUGCCUUACCUCACAGCAUUGCCCUCAGAUGGAACAAAAAGAGCUCGAGUGAUGUGCCCAGGCUCUAUGUGCAGCAUCUGGCUGGUCUGGGAGUUGGACCCAGG